CAGCCUCUUCGACAAGGACGGCGACGGAUGCAUUACUACGAAGGAGCUGGGUACUGUGAUGCGGUCGUUGGGGCAGAACCCGACUGAGGUUGAGCUGCAGGAUAUGGUCAACGAGGUGGAUGCUGAUCAGAACGGGACCAUUGACUUUCCUGAGUUCUUGAAUCUCAUGGCGCGCAAGAUGAAGGACACUGAUUCCGAGGAGGAACUCAAAGAAGCUUUCAAGGUUUUUG
RNAcentral lists this unclassified non-coding RNA (230 nucleotides) under Hevea brasiliensis (rubber tree). Lineage: Eukaryota; Viridiplantae; Streptophyta; Magnoliopsida; Malpighiales; Euphorbiaceae. The record is from RNAcentral.